RNAcentral lists this ribosomal RNA (617 nucleotides) under uncultured bacterium. RNAcentral's name for it is "bacterial SSU rRNA". It matches the Rfam family "Bacterial small subunit ribosomal RNA", at positions 335 to 944 of the family's 1533-position model. The record is from RNAcentral.
ACUCCUACGGGAGGCAGCAGUGGGGAAUAUUGGACAAAGGGCGAAAGCCUGAUCCAGCCAUGCCGCGUGUGUGAAGAAGGUCUUCGGAUUGUAAAGCACUUUAAGUUGGGAGGAAGGGCAGUAAAUUAAUACUUUGCUGUUUUGACGUUACCGACAGAAUAAGCACCGGCUAACUCUGUGCCAGCAGCCGCGGUAAUACAGAGGGUGCAAGCGUUAAUCGCAAUUACUGGGCGUAAAGCGCGCGUAGGUGGUUCGUUAAGUUGGAUGUGAAAUCCCCGGGCUCAACCUGGGAACUGCAUUCAAAACUGACGAGCUAGAGUAUGGUAGAGGGUGGUGGAAUUUCCUGUGUAGCGGUGAUAUGCGUAGAUAUAGGAAGGAACACCAGUGGCGAAGGCGACCACCUGGACUGAUACUGACACUGAGGUGCGAAAGCGUGGGGAGUAAACAGGAUUAGAUACCCUGGUAGUCCCCUCCGUAAACGAUGUCAACUAGCCGUUGGGAGCCUUGAGCUCUUAGUGGCGCAGCUAACGCAUUAAGUUGACCGCCUGGGGAGUACGGCCGCAAGGUUAAAACUCAAAUGAAUUGACGGGGGCCCGCACAAGCGGUGGAGCAUGUGG